RNAcentral lists this ribosomal RNA (250 nucleotides) under uncultured bacterium. RNAcentral describes it as "partial 16S ribosomal RNA". It matches the Rfam family "Bacterial small subunit ribosomal RNA", at positions 355 to 622 of the family's 1533-position model. The record is from RNAcentral.
UGGGGAAUAUUGCACAAUGGACGAAAGUCUGAUGCAGCAACGCCGCGUGGAGGAUGACACAUUUCGGUGCGUAAACUCCUUUUAUAUGGGAAGAUAAUGACGGUACCAUAUGAAUAAGCACCGGCUAACUCCGUGCCAGCAGCCGCGGUAAUACGGAGGGUGCAAGCGUUACUCGGAAUCACUGGGCGUAAAGAGCGUGUAGGCGGAUAUAUAAGUCAGAAGUGAAAUCCAAUAGCUUAACUAUUGAACU